GGACAGGUGUCCGAGCGGCUGAAGGAGCAUCAUUGGAAAUGAUGUAUACGGGCAACCGUAUCGCGAGUUCGAAUCUCGCCCUGUCCG
Molecule: transfer RNA, 87 nt
Filed under: Phycisphaerae bacterium
Lineage: Bacteria; Pseudomonadati; Planctomycetota; Phycisphaerae
Description: tRNA-Ser
Rfam family: tRNA
About the family: Transfer RNA (tRNA) molecules are approximately 80 nucleotides in length. Their secondary structure includes four short double-helical elements and three loops (D, anti-codon, and T loops). Further hydrogen bonds mediate the characteristic L-shaped molecular structure. tRNAs have two regions of fundamental functional importance: the anti-codon, which is responsible for specific mRNA codon recognition, and the 3' end, to which the tRNAs corresponding amino acid is attached (by aminoacyl-tRNA synthetases). tRNAs cope with the degeneracy of the genetic code in two manners: having more than one tRNA (with a specific anti-codon) for a particular amino acid; and 'wobble' base-pairing, i.e. permitting non-standard base-pairing at the 3rd anti-codon position.
Source: RNAcentral